RNAcentral lists this ribosomal RNA (496 nucleotides) under uncultured bacterium. RNAcentral's name for it is "partial 16S ribosomal RNA". It matches the Rfam family "Bacterial small subunit ribosomal RNA", at positions 29 to 507 of the family's 1533-position model. The record is from RNAcentral.
AUGAACGCUGGCGGCGUGCCUAAUACAUGCAAGUCGAGCGAACAGACGAGGAGCUUGCUCCUCUGACGUUAGCGGCGGACGGGUGAGUAACACGUGGAUAACCUACCUAUAAGACUGGGAUAACUUCGGGAAACCGGAGCUAAUACCGGAUAAUGUAUUGAACCGCAUGGUUCAAUAGUGAAAGACGGUUUUGCUGUCACUUAUAGAUGGAUCCGCGCCGCAUUAGCUAGUUGGUAAGGUAACGGCUUACCAAGGCAACGAUGCGUAGCCGACCUGAGAGGGUGAUCGGCCACACUGGAACUGAGACACGGUCCAGACUCCUACGGGAGGCAGCAGUAGGGAAUCUUCCGCAAUGGGCGAAAGCUUGACGGAGCAACGCCGCGUGAGUGAUGAAGGUCUUCGGAUCGUAAAACUCUGUUAUUAGGGAAGAACAAAUGUGUAAGUAACUAUGCACGUCUUGACGGUACCUAAUCAGAAAGCCACGGCUAACUACGUG